AUAACGACAAGCAAAGGCUCUCGGCUCCCCGUCUGUGCGCCAUGGGGGCGAUCAGCUCGGCGGGGAUCUCCAACACCCACGUACGCAGGUGGGUGACCAUGGGCUAGCAAUCAAUCAGCCAGCCUCAUAUCCUCCUGGCCAUAUUGCGCUAAGCAGUACUGGCGCUAAGGUGUGGCAUCUGAUAGUAGGACAUCUGAGGAAAAAGAUGCCUUGUUCAGGGGGUUGAUGCCCAGGAAACCGAGAUCGCCAAUGAAACUGGAACCAGGCUGAUCGGUACGGUGGUUUCGGACCAUCCAUCCUGGGCUGAAGCCGGUGCUGAUGCUGAGCAUGGUGGCCGUGCUUCUCUGAGCUACCUGAUGAAGAAUCGACAAAGGAGUGAUGAAAUCCAUGUCGUCUCGGACUGGGAGAAGCUCGAAGAUUGAUGCUGCUAGCUUGUCUGUCUUGGCUAGUGUUGCUUUACAUGUUGCUUUCUGCUCCAUGGAGUUUGUAACGAACUUAAUUGUUUUACUUUUGCGUUGCGUUCCUUGCCCC
Molecule: long non-coding RNA, 531 nt
Organism: Triticum aestivum (bread wheat)
Lineage: Eukaryota; Viridiplantae; Streptophyta; Magnoliopsida; Poales; Poaceae
Exons: 3
Source: RefSeq, a predicted model, not a curated record